Molecule: ribosomal RNA, 253 nt
Filed under: uncultured bacterium
Lineage: Bacteria
Description: partial 16S ribosomal RNA
Rfam family: Bacterial small subunit ribosomal RNA
Source: RNAcentral
UACAGAGGUCUCAAGCGUUGUUCGGAUUCAUUGGGCGUAAAGAGCGCGCAGGCGGUCGUUCAAGUCGAGUGUGAAAGCCCCCGGCUCAACUGGGGAGGGUCACUCGAUACUGAUCGACUUGAAGGCAGGAGAGGGAAGCGGAAUUCCCGGUGUAGUGGUGAAAUUCGUAGAUAUUGGGAAGAACACCGGUGGCGAAGGCGGCGACCUGGUCCGAUACUGACGCUGAGGCGCGAAAGCGUGGGGAGCAAACAGG